UUUACCCUGCAGUGCUCGUGUAUCGAAACGUAGUCCUUGGACCGUAAUCAAAAAAUAAAUGGAGUGGUAGCCUUCGGUUGGGCGGCCGACAGGCCUUUACUGGAAGUCGAAUGUCGCCAGGUGAGCUCCCCUUGUUAUAAUCCUGUUCAUAGGAUCUGUUCCCCACGACACAUGCGGGGUUUUU
This 184-nucleotide non-coding RNA is filed under the name Verrucomicrobiota bacterium. RNAcentral's name for it is "6S RNA". It matches the Rfam family "6S / SsrS RNA". From Rfam's summary of the family: E. coli 6S RNA was the first non coding RNA to be sequenced, but its function was unknown until recently. It consists of 184 nucleotides that fold into an extended hairpin structure with a large single-stranded internal bulge. Lineage: Bacteria; Pseudomonadati; Verrucomicrobiota. The record is from RNAcentral.